GGAGGAAAGCAGGGGAUCGUAAGACCUUGCGCUUUUGGAGCGGCCGAUGUCUGAUUAGCUAGUUGGUGGGGUAAUGGCCUACCAAAGCUUCGAUCAGUAGCUGGUCUGAGAGGACGACCAGCCACACUGGGACUGAGACACGGCCCAGACUCCUACGGGAGGCAGCAGUGGGGAAUUUUGGACAAUGGGCGCAAGCCUGAUCCAGCCAUGCCGCGUGAGUGAAGAAGGCCUUCGGGUUGUAAAGCUCUUUCAGCCGGGAAGAAAAGGCUACGACGAAUAAUCGUAGCUCAUGACGAUACCGGAAGAAGAAGCACCGGCUAACUACGUGCCAGCAGCCGCGGUAAUACGUAGGGUGCGAGCGUUAAUCGGAAUUACUGGGCGUAAAGGGUGCGCAGGCGGUUUUGUAAGUCAGAUGUGAAAUCCCCGGGCUUAACCUGGGAAUUGCGUUUGAAACUACAAAGCUAGA
This 466-nucleotide ribosomal RNA is filed under the name uncultured ammonia-oxidizing beta proteobacterium. RNAcentral's name for it is "bacterial SSU rRNA". It matches the Rfam family "Bacterial small subunit ribosomal RNA", at positions 198 to 645 of the family's 1533-position model. The record is from RNAcentral. Lineage: Bacteria; Pseudomonadati; Pseudomonadota; Betaproteobacteria.